RNA transcript from Gorilla gorilla gorilla (western lowland gorilla), 11954 nucleotides. It is a transcript of the gene named zinc finger protein 680, with no coding region annotated. The transcript is spliced from 5 exons. Lineage: Eukaryota; Metazoa; Chordata; Mammalia; Primates; Hominidae. The record is from RefSeq and is a predicted model, not a curated record.
GGACGGCUUCCGGGAUUUGGCGGGGCCUUUGUCUCUAGCUGCUGCGGGAGCUCCAGGUCUAGUCUUUACUGCUCUGUGUAUUCUGCUCCUAGAGGCCCAGCUUCUGUGGCUCCGUUAUCUGCAGGUAUUGGGAGAUGCACAGCUAAGAUGCCAGGACCACCUGGAAGCCUAGAAAUGGGACCACUGACAUUUAGGGAUGUGGCCAUAGAAUUCUCUCUGGAGGAGUGGCAAUGCCUGGACACUGCACAACGGAAUUUAUAUAGGAAAGUGAUGUUUGAGAACUACAGAAACCUGGUCUUCCUGGGUAUUGCUGUCUCUAAGCCUCACCUGAUAACCUGUUUGGAGCAAGGAAAAGAGCCCUGGAAUAGGAAGAGACAGGAGAUGGUAGCCAAACCCCCAGUUAUAUAUUCUCAUUUCACUGAAGACCUUUGGCCAGAGCAUAGCAUAAAAGAUUCUUUUCAAAAAGUGAUACUGAGAGGAUACGGAAAAUGUGGACAUGAGAAUUUACAAUUAAGAAUAAGUUGUAAAAGUGUGGAUGAGUCUAAGGUGUUCAAAGAAGGUUAUAAUGAACUUAACCAAUGUUUGACAACUACCCAGAGCAAAAUAUUUCAAUGUGAUAAAUACGUGAAAGUCUUUCAUAAAUUUUCAAAUUCAAACAGUCAUAAGAAAAGAAAUACUGGAAAGAAGUUUUUCAAAUGUAAAGAAUGUGGCAAAUCAUUUUGCAUGCUUUCACAUCUAACACAACAUAUAAGAAUUCACACUAGAGAGAAUUCUUACAAAUGUGAGGAAUGUGGCAAAGUUCUUAACUGGUUCUCAGAGCUUAUUAAACAUAAGGGAAUUCAUAUGGGAGAGAAACCCUACAAAUGUGAGGAAUGUGGCAAAGCCUUUAACCAAUCCUCAACCCUUAUUAAACAUAAGAAAAUUCAUAUUGAAGAGAAACCCUUCAAAUGUGAAGAAUGUGGCAAAGCCUUUAGUUUAUUCUCAAUCCUUAGUAAACAUAAAAUAAUUCAUACUGGAGACAAACCUUACAAAUGUGAUGAAUGUCACAAAGCCUUUAACUGGUUUGCAACCCUUACUAACCAUAAGAGAAUUCAUACUGGAGAGAAACCCUUCAAAUGUGAAGAAUGUGGCAAAGAUUUUAACCAGUUUUCAAACCUUACUAAACAUAAGAAAAUUCAUACUGGAGAGAAACCCUACAAAUGUGAAGAAUGUGGCAAAGCUUUUAACCAGUUUGCAAACCUUACUAGACAUAAGAAAAUUCAUACUGGAGAGAAAUCCUACAAAUGUGAAGAAUGCGGCAAAGCUUUUAUACAGUCCUCAAACCUUACUGAACAUAUGAGAAUUCAUACUGGAGAGAAACCCUACAAAUGUGAAGAAUGUGGCAAAGCUUUUAAUGGGUGCUCCAGCCUUACUCGACAUAAGAGAAUUCACACUAGAGAGAAUACCUACAAAUGUGAAGAAUGUGGCAAAGGCUUUACUUUAUUUUCAACCCUUACUAACCAUAAAGUAAUUCAUACUGGAGAGAAAUCCUACAAAUGUGAUGAAUGUGGCAAUGUUUUUAACUGGCCUGCAACUCUUGCUAAUCAUAAGAGAAUUCAUGCUAGAGAGAAACCCUACAAAUGUGAAGAAUGUGGCAAAGCUUUUAACCGGUCCUCACACCUUACUAGACAUAAGAAAAUUCAUACUGGUGAGAAACUCUACAAAUCUGAAAAAUGCGACAAUAAUUUUGAUAACACCUAAAACUUUUCUAAACAUAAAAGACACCAUCCUGUUGAGAAACCCUAAAAAUGUGAAGAAUUUGACAAAGCCUUCCAGUGAUUGUUACACUUGCUUGUAGGAGCCCCUUGCAGAACUCAAGAGCUAGACAUUAGAAAAGACAACUUUGAAACUGAAAUUUGAUUUUGUGAAGUUUGUUGAAGAUGUUGGAGGUUUAAAACACUUGAUAUUCUGAAAUAAAAUUUUAAAUUACCGUAAGUUAUUUGUUUUGCUAAAAUGAUGACUUAAAAUUUGAAAAAGCAAAACCUUUUACUAGCUCUUAUUAUUACAUAAAAAUUUUGAUUGGCUAGGUGUGGUGGCUCACGCCUGUAAUCCCAGCACUUUGGGAGGCCUAGGAGGGUGGAUCAUGAAGUCAGGAAAUCAAGACCAUCCUAGCCAACAUGGUGAAAUCCCGUCUCUACUAAAAAUAAAAAAAGUAGCUGGGUGUGGUGGCAAGUGCCUGUAGUCCCAGCUACCCAGGAGGCUGAGGCAGGAGAAUAGCUUGAACCCAGAAGGCGGAGGUUGCAGUGAGCUGAGAUCACACCACUGCACUCCAGCCUGGGUGACAGAGCGAGAAUCUAUCUUAAAAAAAAAAAAAAAAAUUUUUUUUUUAAUUAAAAGAAAGAAAGCUAAAUUUUACUUUUGCAUACUGUUAAUGUUAACCCCAAUUUUAAUGAAACCUUAUAAACAAUUUUCUUCAAUUUUAACUAAUUAGACCAUGAGGUGAGAGUUUUAUAAACCUUUUAUAACUCUUUACAAAUUUUGCUAAGAAUUGAUUAGUGCUUUAAUAAAACCUUGUUUGUAUUUUAAUGCUUAAUUUGAAAAACUAUAUAAUAUCCUUUUGAAUUUUAGUUGAUAUCUUUACAUACAGAAUUUUUUUGCAAGAUUAAUUUUUAUUUAUUUAUUAUUUUUUUGUUUUGUUUUGUUUUUGUUUUUGUUUUUGUUUUUUUAUUGAUCAUUCUUGGGUGUUUCUCGCAGAGGGGGAUUUGGCAGGGUCACAGGACAAUAGUGGAGGGAAGGUCAGCAGAUAAACAAGUGAACAAAGUUCUCUGGUUUUCCUAGGCAGAGGACCCUGCGGCCUUCCGCAGUGUUUGUGUCCCUGGGUACUUGAGAUUAGGGAGUGGUGAUGACUCUUAACGAGCAUGCUGCCUUCAAGCAUCUGUCUAACAAAGCACAUCUUGCACCGCCCUUAAUCCAUUCAACCCUGAGUGGAUACAGCACAUGUUUCAGAGAGCACAGGGUUGGGGGUAAGGUCACAGAUCAACAGGAUCCCAAGGCAGAAGAAUUUUUCUUAGUACAGAACAAAAUGAAAAGUCUCCCAUGUCUACCUCUUUCUACACAGACACGGCAACCAUCCGAUUUCCCAAUCUUUUCCCCACCUUUCCCCCCCAUUUCACAAAACCGCCAUUGUCAUCAUGGCCCGUUCUCAAUGAGCUGUUGGGUACACCUCCCAGACGGGGUGGCGGCUGGGCAGAGGGGCUCCUCACUUCCCAGUAGGGGCGGCCGGGCAGAGGCGCCCCUCACCUCCCGGAUGGGGCAGCUGGCCGGGCAGGGGGCUGACCCCCCCCACCUCCCUCCUGGACGGGGCGGCUGGCCGGGCAGAGGGGCUCCUCACUUCCCCGACGGGGCGGCCGGGCAGAGGCGCCCCUCACCUCCCGGACGGGGCGGCUGGCCGGGCGGGGGGCUGACCCCCCCACCUCCCUCCCGGACGGGGCGGCUGGCCGGGCAGAGGGGCUCCUCACUUCCCAGUAGGGGCGACCGGGCAGAGGCGCCCCUCACCUCCCGGACGGGGCGGCUGGCCAGGUGGGGGACUAACCCCCCCACCUCCCUCCCGGAUGGGGCGGCUGGCUGGGCAGGGGGCUGACCCCCCCACCUCCCUCCCGGACGGGGCGGAUGGCCGGGCAGGGGGCUGACCCCCCGACCUCCCUCCCAGAUGGAGCGGCUGGCCGGGCAGAGGGGCUCCUCUCUUCCCAGUAGGGGUGGCCGAGCAGAGGCAUCCCUCACCUCCCGGACGGGGCGGCUGGCCGGGCAGAGAGGCUCCUCACUUCCCAGUAGGGGCCGCCAGGCAGAGGCGCCCCUCACCUCCCAGACGGGGUGGCUGGCCAGGCGGGGGGCUGACCCCCCCACCUCCCUUCCGGACGGGGCGGCCGGCCGGGCGGGGGGCUGACCCCCUCACCUCCCUCCUGGACGGGGCGGCUGGCCGGGUGGGGGGCUGACCUCCCCCCUCCCUCCCAGACGGAGCGGCUGGCCAGGCAGAAGGGAUCCUCACUUCCCAGUAGGGGCGGCCGGGCAGAGGUGCCCCUCACCUCCCGGACAGGGCGGCUGGCUGGGCGGGGGGCUGAUCCCCCCACCUCCCUCCCGGACGAGGUGGCUGCCGGGCGGAGACGCUACUCACUUCCCAGACAGGGUGGCUGCUGGGCGGAGGGGCUCCUCACUUCUCAGACGGGGCGGUUGACAGGCAGAGGGUCUCCUCACUUCUCAGACGGGGCGGCCGGGCAGAGACGCUCCUCACAUCCCGGACGGGGCGGCAGGGCAGAGGUGUCCCCCCACAUCUCAGACGAUGGGUGGCCGGGCAGAGACACUCCUCACUUCCCAGAUGUGAUGGCGGCCGGGAAGAGGCGCUCCUCACUUCCUAGAUGGAAUGGCGGCCGCGCAGAGACGCUCCUCACCUUCCAGACUGGGCAGCCAGGCAGAGAGGCUCCUCACAUCCCAGACGAUGGGCGGCCAGGCGGAGAUGCUCCUCACUUCCCAGAUGGGGUGGCGGUUGGGCAGAGGCUGCAAUCUCGGCACUUUGGGAGGCCAAGGCAGGCGGCUGGGAGGUGGUUGUAGCCAGCCGAGAUCACGCCACUGCACUCCAGCCUGGGCGCCAUUGAGCAUUGAGUUAACGAGACUCCGUCUGCAAUCCCGGCACCUCAGGAGGCCGAGGCUGGCAGAUCACUCGCGGUUAGAAGCUGGAGACCAGCCCGGCCGACACAGCGAAACCCCGUCUCCACCAAAAAAAUUACAAAAACCAGUCAGGCGUGGCGGCGCGCGCCUGCAAUCGCAGGCACUGGGCAGGCUGAGGCAGGAGAAUCAGGCAGGGAGGUUGCAGUGAGCUGAGAUGGCAGCAGUACUGUCCAGCUUCGGCUGGGCAUCAGAGGGAGACCGUGGAAAGAGAGGGAGAGGGAGACCGUGGAAAGAGAGGGAGAGGGAGAGGGAGACCGUGGGGAGAGGGAGAGGGAGUGGGAGAGGGAGAGGGAGAGCAAGAUUAAUUUUUACAAUUCUUUUUUUUUACAAUUUGCUUAAAGCUUUUGCUUUAAGACUUUUUUUAUUUUUAGGCAAAACGUACUUUUAAAAAAGAUUUUACUAAAAACACAUUUUACUGCUUUUGCAUACCUUGCAUGUAAAUUUUUUUUAGUAGUUUUAAUUAUAUGUUAUAAUGAUAACUUUCAGCAAUUUUUAACUUGAAUGUAAAACCUGGUAAAUUGUUUUAGUUAUGUUCUAGGUGCAGAUGAAUUUUGACUUUUUUUAGCAUAGUUAGGGGCACAUACGCUUUUUGGCCUUACUCAUUGUGAAGCAGGCAAAUAGAACAGUUUUUAAAGGCCAAAGGAGCAGUUUACAACCUUAAAACAUUUAGCAAAUUUAAUAUUUGGCCAGAAUAAUUUUGAUUACCUAUUUACAUUUUGAAGACAUUUAUACUUUAUUAAUAAGUUUUAAGGCUGAUUUUAUUUUUUAAAGAUUAAAGUUACAUAAACUGAAAGGUACCACAGCCUUCAUUUAAAAGAAAUUGAUUUAAGCACUUAUUUUUAAUUAGAGCUUUUUUAAAUAGACAUUACACACACAACACAUGUAUAACCACACAGAAAAAAAAAGAUUUAGUAGUUACAAGAUUUUUUACUUGCCAGUUUUUAACUGGAUUAUUGGCCUCUGGGUAAAGCCCUUUAGGAACAAGGCUAGAAAUACAGUUUUUAUUUACAGGGCUAGGAAUACAGUUUUUAGGGAUUUUAUUAGAAAAAUUUUUUUUAAAUGAGAUUUGUGGUGUUCUUGUUUUUAAGAAGUUUUGGGCCACCAGAAAUUAUUUUAGGACCUUUUAUGAAUGGACCAAGAAUGGCAAGGCACAGUGGAGAAAAGUCAUUUAGUUGACUGAGAAGAAAUUUUUUUUUUUUUUUUUUUUUUUGUUGGAGACGGAGUUUUGCUCUUGUUGCCCAGGCUGGAGUGCAAUGGUGCGAUCUCGGCUCACUGCAACCUCUGCCUCCUGUGUUCAAACGAUUUUCCUGCCUCAGCCUGCUGAGUAGCUGGGACUACAGGCACACGCCACCAAGCCCAGCUAAUUUUUGUAUUUUUUUUUUAGUAGAGAAGGGGUUUCACCAUCUUGGCCAGGAUGAUCUCGAUCUCUUGACCUUGUGAUCCACCUGCCUUGACCUCCCAAAGUGCUGGGAUUACAGGCAUGAGCCACUGUGCCCAGCCCCUUAAGAAACUUUUUUUAGAAAAGAUUUAUGAAGAGUAAAACAUGAAACCUUUUUAAAUAUAUUUAUAGCUUGGAUAUUUAUUUUUAAUAGUGCUUUUUUUUUUUUUGGAGACGAAGUCUUGCUCUUCUGGGCUGAAGUGCAAUGGUGCGAUCUUGGCUCACUGCAACCUCCGCCUCCCAGGGUCAAGUGAUUCUCCUGCCUCAGCCUCCCGAGUAGCUGGGAUUACAGGUGCCCACCACCAUGCCCGGCUAAUUUUUGUAUUUUUAGUAGAGAUGGGGUUUCACCAUGUUGGCCAGGCUGGUCUCAAACUACUGACCUCAGGUAAUCUGCCUGCCUUGGCGUCCCAAAGUGCUGGGAUUACAGUGGUGAGCCGCUGUGCCUAGCCAAUAAUGCUUUUUAAGAAUUUUUUUUAUUAAUUAAAACUUCACAGAGAAUAUAAACAGUAAUUUUACCAUUUUUUUCCUAGUUUGCACCACUACCUGUUUACAAUUAUGUUUAGGUUUUUUUAGAGGGUUUUUUUGAAGAAAGUGUCCGGGUUUGGGCAAGGGCAAGGUUUUUUUGUUUGUUUGUUUUACUAAAGAUUUUUUUUAGCAGCAAAGCUUGAUAUUUGAGGCGGUGAUGGCCAGAGACUAUUUUUUAGUGGACAACAGUUUUGCAGUACUGUGUGAGGUGUAAACAGUUAAGUUAUUUUCCAUGGUUAGCCCACUUGCUGUUGAGUCAGACCUUGAGCCUUAGCCAAAACUUUUAGGGCUAUUUUCUCUUUUCUUUUGAUACAUAGAAAUUAAAUACCUGAGGGCAUCAGCCCUCAGUCUUCCCACAGAGACUGUGCUUUAGCUGGUUAAAAGUUUUUGUGUUUUAGGUUUUAUUUUAUUUUUUUGAGACGGUGUCUUGCUCUGUCACCCAGGCUAGAGUGCAGUGGCCCAAUCUUGGCUCACUGUAACCUCUGCCUCCUGCGUUUCAGCAAUUCUCCUGCCUUAGCCUCCCAAGUAGCUGGGAUUACAGGCACCUGCCACAGUGCCUAGGUAAUUUUUGUAUUUUUAGUAGAGAUGGGGUUUUACUGCGUUGACCAGGCUGGUCUCGAAUUCCUGACCUUGUGAUCCACCCACCUUGGCCUCCCAAAGUGCUGGGAUUACAGGCAUGAGCCACCGUGCCUGGCCUGUGUUUUAGGUUUUUAAGUUAGGAAGUGAGUUUUAGCUGUUUAUAUUUUUGUUUGUUUGUUUGUUUUUUAUGAGGUGAUACAAAGGAUGAGCUAUUUUACCAACCCAGGUAUUUAUAAUUUACAAAAACCUGUAAUGCCUUAAAAUUCUUUUAGCUCUUUGAGGGUUUUGGGAAAGAGGAAAGAAGGAAAUAGGCUUAUUUAUUUAUUUAUUUAUUUAUUUUGCUUCAUGCUUUAGUUUUUGUUUUUUGUUUUUUUUUCUUUGAGAUGGAGUCUCUGUUGCCUAGGCUGGAGUGCAGUCGUGUGAUCUUGGCUCACCACAACUCCGCCUCCCAGGUUCAAGCAAUUCUCCUGCCUCAGCCUCCCGAGUAGCUGGGACUACAGGCGCACACCACCAUGCCAGGCUAAUUUUUGUAUUUUAGUAGAGACAGGGUUUGACUAUGUUGGUCAGGCUGGUCUCGAACUCCUGACCUCGUGAUCCGCCUGCCUCGGCCUGUCAAAGUGCUGGGAUUAUAGGCGUGAGCCACCACACCUGUCUGCUUUAGUUUUUUUUUGACAAGACUGGACUUAAGUACCUCACUGAAGUUUGAACUGAGCUUUAGAUUUGGAUAUUUUCUAUUUUUUACCUGCUAGAAAAUUAAAAAGAACCUUAGCGCCUUUUUGAAAGACCCCCUCAGUUGGGGCACGGAGGAAAGUGUUAUUUACAUACUGCAAAGUUUUAAAUUGUGGCUGAGCAAAAUUAGAUUUUUGGAAACAGCCUGUUUUUGUAACUUUUUUUUUUUAAUAUUAAGGGCUGCCUGAAUAAUAAACCUGUUUUUUUAUUGAGUUGGGAUACAGGUAGGUGUUUUUAUUAAAGCUUUUUUUAGGCUAUUUAAAAAGGUGGCAGGGCGGGGGUGCGUUAUUUGGUUUUUGAUUUAGCAAGGACAGUUUAGAGUUACUAAGAGGUUUGGUUUUGGUUUUUUGCAAGCUUUUUAAAAUGCAUAUUAGAAAGUUUUUUUUUAAUUACGUAUUUAUGGGAUCACCAAGACUUUAAUUAGGUUUUUAAGGGGCAUUGUUUUAUUUUAAUUGGGAAUAGGGAUCUUGUUCUACCCUUUUUUCCUUGGGGCUUUUUUGUUGUUGUUGUUUUUUGACUGGCUAGGUCUCCAAUUUGUAAGAUGGCUGUGCCCUUAUGCAAGAGAAUAUAAGUCUUUUUUUUUUUUUUUUUUUUUUUAGAGUUUUACGGUUAAAGGAGCUUUAGUAAUUUAGAAUACACUUGAGGGGAGUAUAGGCUGCAGAUGGUCUGUUGCCCAUCUAGAACAAGAGGGAGAAACAAAGCUUUCCUUAGUUCCUUUUCUCCCUUUUGUGUGACCCAGGGUGGAGAGCAAGAGAGAAGGGGCAUCCUCUUUCUCCUCCUUCUCUCUCUCCUUUGGGUUCAGGCUACCAUGAUAGGUGCUGCAACAUGGAUACAAGCGUGACCUUUACCCAUGUUCCUGGAGAAGCUAGUCGGCAGGAUUUAGUUACACUUACCUGCUUAAAAUUCUAGCCUUUUGCCCUGCUGGAUUUCUAGACCCACUCAGCCCAAAAGGCUCCCAGGGUACCCCAGAUGUUGGAAGAAAGUAUAUAGUAGUUGGAUUUGGGCAAGAUUUUUUAAUGAAGGGAAUGUUUUAAUACUAUUUUUGGCUUUCCUUGCUAUGGCCCCAGUGAAGAAUUAAAAAAGCACAAAGUAAGACUGAUUAACUUUUAUACAUAAAAUUUCUGUCUCGUUUGAAUGCCAGUGUAAUUGAAUGCAGAACAGAUGCCUUAAAAGUGUAAAAAUUGAAUGGCUGCCUUUCUUUAUUGGGGACAGUAUUGAAGCUAAGAUUUGUCUUAUUAGGAUGGCUUCCUCCUGGCUGUUGAAAGUGGAGUUUUUCUGUUUACACAUAGGAUGUGGGGCCUGAUUACUGAUAGACAUAAAAGGGAAAAGAAUGGAAGAUGAGAGGUUUUGGGCAAAGGGCUGACAAGGCUCCCCAUGGAGAAAAAUUCUAUUCCAUUAUGUGGCACUGCAGGAUUAGAAGUGUUAGGUAAAAACUCUGACUCCAAAUUCUUUUUAGGCAAAAGUUAGGUUUGGGGUUGGAUAGGCUAUUAUUAUAGUAUGCCCCCCAGCAUAAGAAAAUCAACUGUUCAAACUCAUUGGACAAUGCUGAACUUUUACAUGGAGGGAAGAAACAAAUGGAGAGGGGGAGGGUAUUUACAUGAGGUGACCUUCCCCUAUACAGUGCCAUAAAUGUCUAUUACUGGGGACAAAACGCCCUUACUAGAAAAUUUAGACUGAAAUCCCAAAGUCCCCCUAUCUCAAGGAAUCACAAAAAUGGCAAUUUUUUUAAGUUACAUUCCUAAGACACUGACUAACUCUACCCAACAAGAUUAUAUCUUUAGGUUGCAGAAACAUCCAUGACAUUGUAUACAAAGAAGGGAUAGGAGGCAUAAUAGCCACCAUAGAAAAGGAAAAUGCAAUAGGAAAAGACUGGAAGUCCUUGUGCUGACACCCUGACAGGCUGUUGGGGACUAGAGUUAGUCCAAAGGCCUUUAGAUAACACUGAGGUAUAGCCCAAGCCAGAAAAUUUUAGUUGCCCUAGGACCCCCUUUUAAUUCCAUGUAAUGGCUUAGGUCCUCUGUGAAAAGUAGCUAGAUUGGAAUAGACAAGAAGUCCUAAAAAUGAAAGUAAAGGGUUAAAGUUAAACCACGUUGUAAGUGACUGAUUAGUAAUUCCAGUCUGUUUCAUUUUUAGUCACGUAGCGAGUAUACAGGAAAUUUAUUAGCUCUCAUUUUUUAUUCUGUUAGAUCAUGAUUAGUGUUAAGCCUGAAAACAAGCUGGCCACAUCAGUAGUUCGUAACCCAUGUUAAUUCUAAUCAGUCAAUCUGGGGCUAUAAUAGUAGUUAAAUGUUUUUAAUACUAUCCUUGGCAGAUUCACAUACAGCAUAAAUAUAAAUAUUAUGGUAACAUUUCUCAUUGAGUACUGUUCUUUAGCACUCCAGUAAAUUUAAAUGUAGUUUAAAAAUACAUAUUCAUGCUUGAACCCAGGAGGCGGAGUUUGCAGUGAGCUGAGAUUGCACGACUGCACUCCAGCCUGGGCAACAGAGCAAGACUCUGUCUCAAAAAAAAAAAAAGUAUGUAUGUAUAUAUACAUAUAUAUAUACAUUUUUAAAUAUAUAUAUUCAAAUAACUUGUUUCUCUAACAAGUGAAGGAAAUAAUUUACUUAGACAUUUAGAGAGAAUUUUACUCAAAACAGUAGCUUUAGAGCCUUUUAAAGUAUUUUAUUAUUUUGAACAUUAAAAAUCAAGAAAAUUUAUUCUUGAGUGUUGGGUUCAUACUAUUCAUAACAUUAAAAGUUUACUAAUGUACAUCACUAAAUGAGCAAACCAGUCGAAAUAAAAAAAUAUGUGUGUGUGUGUGUGUGUGUGUGUGUGUGUGUGUGUGUCCUGGAAUUUUAAGAUGAAAAAAACACUUUUUUCUCUGGCCCAAUUCUUAAAGUUUAUUUCUCUCUUUUUUCUAAGAAAAGUAUUAAUAGUAUUUUUAAAUGGCAAAUCAGAGUUGUAUACAUUUAUGGGGUACAAUGUGAUAUUUUAAUAUACCUAUAUAAUAUGGAUGGCUCAUGCCUGUAAUCCCAGCUACUUGGGAGGCUGAGGCAGGAGAAUCACGUGAACCCAGGAGACAGAGGUUGCGGUGAGCCAUUGCACUCCAGCCUGGGUGACAAGAGCGAAACUCCAUCUCAAAAAAAAAAAAUAGAAUAAUUGAGUUGAAUAACAUAUGUAUAUCAACUCACUUACCUAUCCUUUGUGGUGAGACAUUUGAAAUUUACUCUGUUAUUUUGAAAUACACAAUAUAUUGUUGUUUACUAUACACAAUACAUUAUUGUUUACUAUAGUCCCUGCUGUGCAAUAGAUCUCAAAACCUAUUUACCCUAUUUGAAACUUUGUACCCUCUGAUGAACAACUCUCUAUUUACUUCCAGCCACCCCCAGUCUCUGGUAACCAUUACUCCACUUUCUACUUUUUUGAGUUAAACUUUAUUAAAUUCUACAUAUAAACGAGAUUAUGCACCAUUUGUCUUUCUGUGUCUGGCUUAUUUCAUCUAGCAUAGUGUCUUCUAAAUUUAUCGUUUCAAAUAGUGGGAUUUACCCUUUCUUGACGCUGAAUAGUAUUUCAUUGUUUAUACCACAUUUUUAAAAUAAUUAAUAUAAAUAUAUAUUUGUCUAUUGGUUGAAAAAGUCAUGUCUUAGGGAAAAAUAUUUCUGUGUUAAAGCAUGUAUUAAUGUAAUUUAGCAUAUAAUUAUCUUAUUAAAAUUACCUAAUUUCUACUGAGUACUGACCAUAACACUAUAUAUGUGUUAAUAAAUUUAAUUCUCACAGUAACUUAAUAACAUGGGUAUCAUUAUUACCCUCAUUUUACCAGAGGAAGAAACAGAGCCACUGAGAGAAAUGACUUGCUCACAAUAGCAGAGCCAAUAUUAAACCACAGGCAACUUUGUCUGCAGAGAGGUAACACUCUUGAGUACAACAAUAAAAAACUUCAAACAGAAAAUAAUUAUUUUAAACUCAUUUUAAAUAAAAAAUUUUUAGAAAUUGAAUAAUUGGA